This 437-nucleotide ribosomal RNA is filed under the name uncultured Oscillospiraceae bacterium. RNAcentral describes it as "bacterial SSU rRNA". It matches the Rfam family "Bacterial small subunit ribosomal RNA", at positions 341 to 792 of the family's 1533-position model. Lineage: Bacteria; Bacillati; Bacillota; Clostridia; Eubacteriales; Oscillospiraceae. The record is from RNAcentral.
ACGGGAGGCAGCAGUGGGGAAUAUUAGGCAAUGGGGGCAACCCUGACCUAGCAACGCCGCGUGAAGGAAGAAGGCCUUCGGGUUGUAAACUUCUUUUAUGAGGGACGAAGGAAGUGACGGUACCUCAUGAAUAAGCCACGGCUAACUACGUGCCAGCAGCCGCGGUAAUACGUAGGUGGCAAGCGUUGUCCGGAUUUACUGGGUGUAAAGGGCGCGUAGGCGGGAUGACAAGUCAGAUGUGAAAUCCAUGGGCUCAACCCAUGAACUGCAUUUGAAACUGCCAUUCUUGAGUAUCGGAGAGGCAAGCGGAAUUCCUAGUGUAGCGGUGAAAUGCGUAGAUAUUAGGAGGAACACCAGUGGCGAAGGCGGCCUGCUGGGCUUUUACUGACGCUGAGGUUCGAAAGUGUGGGGAGCAAACAGGAUUAGAUACCCUGGUA